CACAACAAGAAUCAAAGCUUCAAGAUUGUUAAACAGUUAUAAACAGUAUUUGACUUGUAGGGAAAUGAAAGCCUGGCCUAUUCCUCUUUAGACUCUGCAUUUAAGAGCCCUGGCCUCAACCCCACUGAACACCUUUGCGAUGAACUGGAACACCGACUGCACCCCAGACCUCCUCGACGUCCCAACAUCAGCGCCUGAUCUCACUAAUACUCUUGAGGCUGAAUCCCCACAGCCAUGCUCCAAAAUCUAGUGGAAAGCCUUGGAGGAGGAACAAAGUGAGGAAACGUAAAGACAAAGAGCAGAACUUUGGAGACCAGUGGAAUGAAUGUCAUCAAGCACUUUGAAUAUCUGCUUGUUUAUCAACCUGAUGCAGCUUCAGACGCACUUUGCUUGGACGCCUGAUGAAGGACGGUUGUCCAAGACCUCUUGUAUCUUUGGACAAACUGUGUACUACACUUAGCCUUUAUCACAUCUGCUAACGAUAAAGAAGUAGUUGCUUCCUGGAUUUCUGGAUUCUUCUUCAGAUUUAUGUAUAUAUACAUUAUGUUCUUCAAUAUCAAGCCAAUACUGAUGAGUACACCUUAUGGUCAUAAAGAACUAGUCAUUAAGGCAUCAUAAAGCUACUUAUCAGCUGUUGCCCAGAUGGAAUACUACCUGCUGACUACUAUGUCAUAGUAUGUUGUGUUUGCAUUCACAGCACAGCGUAGGUCUUAAUUAUUUCUGUGUUGUCUCUUGUAGUUCUGUGUUUUUUGUAUGUAGCACCAUGGUCCUGGAGGAACGCUGUUUCGUUUCACUGUGUACUGUACUAGCUGUAUAUAGGUUGAAAUGACAAUCGAGUCACUCGACAUGGAUUCUCAA
Ictalurus punctatus (channel catfish) is the source of this 858-nucleotide long non-coding RNA. RefSeq lists it as uncharacterized. The record is from RefSeq and is a predicted model, not a curated record. NCBI's taxonomy places the organism in Eukaryota, Metazoa, Chordata, Actinopteri, Siluriformes, Ictaluridae. The transcript has 2 exons.